GGCAUGGAGCAGAGGAAGACUCUUCACCUCAUGGUGGCCAGGAAGCAAAAGAAAAGGUUCUGGGGUCUCAAUAUCCCCUUUAAAGGCAUACCCCAAUGACCUAACUUCCUUCCACUGGGUUCUACCUCCUAAAAGUUACACUGCCUCUCAGCAGUGACACAGAAUGAUGACCAAGUCUUUAGCAUAUGGGCCUUUGAGGGACAUUUAAGAUCAAGACCAUAACAUAACAAGGAUCUGAAGUACAAAGAAUUCUCAGACUUGACACCAAAACAUUUCCAUAAGAGGAAAAGGGAGAAACUGGACUUCAUCAAAAUUAAAAUUUUUGUCUGGGAAAGAUUCCAUUAAGAGGAUAAAAAAGACAAGAUUUAGACUAGGAAAAAAAUUUUGCAGUCCAUACAUUUGACAAAGACUAGUAUCUAAAAUAUCUCAAACCACUUUUUCUUCCAUUAGGUACAAGGUCUCUGGUUUAAUUCCUAGGUCCUUGAUCCACUUUGAGUUGAGUUUUGUGCAUGGUGAGAGAUACAGGUUUAAUUACAUUUUGUCACAAGUGAAU
RNAcentral lists this long non-coding RNA (553 nucleotides) under Marmota monax (woodchuck). Lineage: Eukaryota; Metazoa; Chordata; Mammalia; Rodentia; Sciuridae. The record is from RNAcentral.